Oryza sativa Japonica Group (Japanese rice) is the source of this 1822-nucleotide long non-coding RNA. RefSeq lists it as uncharacterized. The record is from RefSeq and is a predicted model, not a curated record. Lineage: Eukaryota; Viridiplantae; Streptophyta; Magnoliopsida; Poales; Poaceae.
CUCUAUCAAGAAAACAUUUUAGCUAUACCUCACCUAUUUUCACUAUGUGUGCACCUCUCUCAAUACAAACUUAGGUACCCGGAUCAGUUUAAACUUAAUCUAAAGUAGAGUAAAUUAAGCAAGUAGCACCUCUCUAUUUCAUUCUAGCUCCGCCCUCCCGUGUCAGGAGAGAAGGCUGCACACACCCCGUGCGGCAGGCCCGCCUCUCCAAGUGAUUAGCGGUAAGCAUAUUUUUUUAAUAAAAUAAUAAUAAACAAUCAAGUUAAAAAUUUUAAAGUACGAGUUGCAUUGUUGAAAGUUGAAAUUUGAAGUUCAAAAUUUUAAAUAUGAGUUGAAAGCUUUUAUAAUUUGAGUUGAAAGUUUCAAACAACCCCUGCUAAAUAGCUCUUCCGAUAAAAAUUAACUACAGAAGUGAAGCAUUGUUAUGGAGUUAGAGUUAGAACCAUACCCAACAAACAUGCCGCUUGUAGUACUUGGCUUGGGAAUUUUAAUUUUUUAAUUAGAAAAUUAUAAAAAAUAAUUUUUUGUUUUACAAAUUUACAGAUCUACCCUCCUAACGCCAUGUAGGUUUUUUAAGAAAAAAACACCCUUCUUGAGAGCGAGAAGGGUUUAAAAUAUUUUUUUAUUUAGACCCUCUCGUUGGUUUUAAUUACUAAAAAAUAGAAAUAUUUAUUUGAUACUCUAAAUAUUUUUAAAUGAGAAAAAGGGUAAAUUAUAAAGUUGUAGAUCUCAUUAAUGUCUACAACUUUUAUAUAAAGCUUGUCUUCAUCGGAGAUCAUUUGAAAUAUAUAUCUGAAAUUUUAUUAAAAAAAUUCAGAUUUUGUAACGAAUAUUUGUACACCUAAACGAUCUUAAAUAAAAAGGUUGCUAACCAUAAAGUUGUAAAUCUCCUCAAGUUCUACAAUUUUGAUAUAAAUUUUAGUUGCAUCCGACUUCAUAUGACCUAUUUUAAAAUUGUAAAAAUACAAGUUGAUAAGUUGUACGGGAAAUUUUGCAUUUAAGCCCUUUGUUGCUCAUCUAGAGAGCGUUUUCUUAAGAGAAAAAAAAUAAUAAAAAAAACGCCCUCCAAAGGACUGGAAGAGUGUAAUCUCUAAACUUUUAAAACAAAAAACUAUUUAAUUUUUGUAAAUAUUCUAAUAAACAAGAAAAUAAAAAUUUUAAAAAUUCCUUGGCUCGGCUCCAGCUCCAUUAUCCUAGGGCUGAAGCAAUGAAAAACAGGCCAAAAUGCGCAUCCUGCGAGCCCUUCAUCCCAAUCCACCGCCUGCUCUCUCAGCCCAACAGGCGCAGGCCCGGCCCAACCCAUCGGGCCCUUCAACUCGCACCGCAUACGGCCUUCGAGUCCUCGACUACAAAGCACAGCAGUGCCCAGCCCAGUGGCAAGGCCUCCACGGGGCUCUCGCCGGCGGCGGGCUCCGGCGCCGCCGCCCGUCCACUCCAUCGCGCUCAGCGCCGCCGGCCGGGGGGCAGCUUCCGUAGCGAACGGCCACCGCCCGCCCACGCCCCCCCUCGCGCGGGCGCCGGCCCUCUUCUCGCCCUGAAACCUGUCAGGAGAGCUGCUUGCUUGGAAAGCUAAGAAGAAAUUUAUUUCAGAUGUGUGUUUUUUACUUCAUCUUUUGUUCAAGAGUGUGUUUUAUCAUCUUGAUCAUUUAAAUCGGGCAAGCAAUUAAAAUGUUUGAGAGUUAACUUUAGAUACAUUUGAAUUUUUGCGGAGCGGAAGGCACCCCUGUAUUGUGAAUUUGUGAUGGUGCCACCAUUUCAAUUGGUACUACACCAAAUGUCAUAUGUUCAACAAUGAAAGGACUGGUUUCAUAAAUUCUGCAAA